RNAcentral lists this ribosomal RNA (253 nucleotides) under uncultured bacterium. Its description in RNAcentral is "partial 16S ribosomal RNA". It matches the Rfam family "Bacterial small subunit ribosomal RNA", at positions 524 to 776 of the family's 1533-position model. The record is from RNAcentral.
UACGUAGGGUGCAAGCGUUGUCCGGAAUUAUUGGGCGUAAAGAGCUCGUAGGCGGUCUGUCGCGUCUGCUGUGAAAACUCAGGGCUUAACCCUGAGCUUGCAGUGGGUACGGGCAGACUAGAGUGCGGUAGGGGAGACUGGAAUUCCUGGUGUAGCGGUGAAAUGCGCAGAUAUCAGGAGGAACACCAGUGGCGAAGGCGGUUCUCUGGGCAUUACCUGACGCUGAGGAGCGAAAGUGUGGGGAGCGAACAGG